UACGGGGGGGGCAAGCGUUGUUCGGAAUUACUGGGCGUAAAGGGCUUGUAGGUGGCCAACUAAGUCAGACGUGAAAUCCCUCGGCUUAACCGGGGAACUGCGUCUGAUACUGGAUGGCUUGAGUGUGGGAGAGGGAUGCGGAAUUCCAGGUGUAGCGGUGAAAUGCGUAGAUAUCUGGAGGAACACCGGUGGCGAAGGCGGCAUCCUGGACCAUUACUGACACUGAGAAGCGAAAGCGUGGGGAGCGAACAGG
This 253-nucleotide ribosomal RNA is filed under the name uncultured bacterium. RNAcentral's name for it is "partial 16S ribosomal RNA". It matches the Rfam family "Bacterial small subunit ribosomal RNA", at positions 524 to 776 of the family's 1533-position model. The record is from RNAcentral.